Molecule: ribosomal RNA, 497 nt
Filed under: uncultured bacterium
Lineage: Bacteria
Description: partial 16S ribosomal RNA
Rfam family: Bacterial small subunit ribosomal RNA
Source: RNAcentral
GAUGAACGCUGGCGGCGUGCCUAAUACAUGCAAGUCGAGCGAACGGACGAGAAGCUUGCUUCUCUGAUGUUAGCGGCGGACGGGUGAGUAACACGUGGAUAACCUACCUAUAAGACUGGGAUAACUUCGGGAAACCGGAGCUAAUACCGGAUAAUAUUUUGAACCGCAUGGUUCAAAAGUGAAAGACGGUCUUGCUGUCACUUAUAGAUGGAUCCGCGCUGCAUUAGCUAGUUGGUAAGGUAACGGCUUACCAAGGCAACGAUGCAUAGCCGACCUGAGAGGGUCAUCCGGCCCACUGGAACUGAGGCACGGUCCAGACUCCGACGGUGGGCAGCAGUAGGGAAUCUUCCGCGAUGGGCGAGAGCCUGACGGAGCAACGUCGCGUGAGUGAUGAAGGUCUUCGGAUCGUAAAACUCUGUUAGUAGGGAAGAACAUAUGUGUAAGUAACUGUGCACAUCUUGACGGUACCUAAUCAGAAAGCCACGGCUAACUACGUG